UACGAAGGGGGCUAGCGUUGCUCGGAAUUACUGGGCGUAAAGGGAGCGUAGGCGGGUUAUCAAGUUGGGGGUGAAAGCCCGGGGCUCAACCUCGGAAUUGCCUUCAAAACUGAUAACCUGGAGUAUGGAAGAGGUAAGUGGAACUCCGAGUGUAGAGGUGAAAUUCGUAGAUAUUAGGAAGAACACCAGUGGCGAAGGCGACUUACUGGACUGUAACUGACGCUGAGGCAUGAAAGCGUGGGGAGCAAACAGG
RNAcentral lists this ribosomal RNA (253 nucleotides) under uncultured bacterium. RNAcentral describes it as "partial 16S ribosomal RNA". It matches the Rfam family "Bacterial small subunit ribosomal RNA", at positions 524 to 776 of the family's 1533-position model. The record is from RNAcentral.